UACGGGAGGCAGCAGUGGGGAAUAUUGCACAAUGGGGGAAACCCUGAUGCAGCGACGCCGCGUGAGUGAUGAAGUAUUUCGGUAUGUAAAGCUCUAUCAGCAGGGAAGAAGAAGGACGGUACCUGACUAAGAAGCCCCGGCUAACUACGUGCCAGCAGCCGCGGUAAU
RNAcentral lists this ribosomal RNA (168 nucleotides) under uncultured rumen bacterium. RNAcentral describes it as "partial 16S ribosomal RNA". It matches the Rfam family "Bacterial small subunit ribosomal RNA", at positions 340 to 524 of the family's 1533-position model. The record is from RNAcentral.